CUGCAGUUCUGAAACAGGCUCCAUCCUGGAAGCUGGAGUCACGUGGAGUUGUAAUGGCUGGCCCAUUUGGAGCCAGUUCCAGGGACCCCAUCUCUUAUCAACAAAGUGACUGAGGAUUGUCUUUAAGAAAAACUGCCAAGUCACCUCCCCAGAGCAUGUGUAGAAGAAGAAAUUGUGACCUGAAACGGCCUCGGGACUAAAGAUCCACCUCCCCACAGAACCCAAGGGCCAGGACACAACCAGAACUUGAAAGGUGCACUCUUAUCAGAAGCAGGGGAUCCCUCAUUCAGGAAGAUCUGGUGUCAAAAUUCUUUCCCAAAUGUUUAAAACCCUCCAAUCAAAACCUGUCCUACCGGCAUUCCCAGGUGUCAGUCUGUUCUCCCUAACCUCUUACACGUCACCCCCAAAUCCUGGCUUGGACAGACGGAUCUGAGGGCCCACACUUCCUGUCUCCAUGCAGAUGCAUCUGGCAGUAUAAAAGCUGAUUCCCCCCAAGGCUGACGCCAUAGUCAAUCGGCUUGUUUAUCCACGUCAGGCAGAGAACCCCAGCUUCCUGCGGUAACAGACUAAAGUAGACAAAGUCAUCUCUCACAUUUUAGGGGAGAGAAGUAGUCUGGUAGUGACGUGUUGAGUGCAACCAGCUUCACCCCAGGAACUAUCCCUGUCGGCGUCUACUCUCCCUCCACUGGCCAGAGCAAGUGCAUGACCGGUCCUAACAUCAAGGGCAUCAGAAGUGCAACCCUACCUCGUACCUAGAAGGAGAAAUGGAAAUGUCACUGAACAGCUCAGAAACUCAGGGAUGUUGAGGACUUUGCUGAAAGUUGCCCAGAUGUUACAUGGCAUACCUGGCAUUUGAAGUCAGGUCUUUUCACCAUUAAGGCCCUGCUCCUUUCAUAAGCCAUGCUACCCCCUGCGAUGGAAAACAAACAUAACAAGUUAGAUCCAGCAAUGACACCAGUUAAAGAGAGGCCAAGUGAUUGAGUGCAGAGACACUGAAAUGUUUUUGGUAUUGAUACGGGCAACCAGUGUCCCAGUCACAAAACGCCCGAUACGAGGAGCCAGAGGAGCACGUCCAACCCUGCGGUUCUUUGAUGGAUCAGGAUACCCG
RNAcentral lists this long non-coding RNA (1108 nucleotides) under Equus caballus (horse). RNAcentral's name for it is "lncRNA (ENSECAG00000054845.1)". Lineage: Eukaryota; Metazoa; Chordata; Mammalia; Perissodactyla; Equidae. The record is from RNAcentral.